The sequence is a small nuclear RNA, 193 nucleotides long. It matches the Rfam family "U2 spliceosomal RNA". From Rfam's summary of the family: U2 is a small nuclear RNA (snRNA) component of the spliceosome (involved in pre-mRNA splicing). Complementary binding between U2 snRNA (in an area lying towards the 5' end but 3' to hairpin I) and the branchpoint sequence (BPS) of the intron results the bulging out of an unpaired adenosine, on the BPS, which initiates a nucleophilic attack at the intronic 5' splice site, thus starting the first of two transesterification reactions that mediate splicing. The record is from Rfam.
AUACCUUCUCGGCCUUUUGGCUAAGAUCAAGUGUAGUAUCUGUUCUAAUCAGUGUGAAAACUGAUUUCCACACUUCGGUGUGGUUUUUUUUCACAUUCAUUUUUACAAAUUCCGAGAGUCCAGUUGGCUUGCCACUGACUUUUGGACUGGUUUCCGAGGGCCUAGCACUCCUCCCUUGCGAAGCCUACCUACA